UGUUCUGAGACCUGAAUUACCUGGGUAAUUAUGUCCUUCACUUUUCUACUUGUGUGGCUUUACUAACAAGCUGAAAAUAUUCCCAAGGUGUCAAUCCUCUGGGCCCUUGGAGAUGCUGCUUUUCUGUAUAAAAUAUAGGUAUGCCUCAGAUCCUCCGGCCAAAGCUCCCUUAUCCUCUGGGGCAGUCUAAACUGAUGUGGAGAUCAAGAGAAAGGGCUUUGGGCCUCAGGAUUUGCAUAGAAGAUGCUAUAAACUGGUUUACUCAAAACCCAUUCUGUUUCCUUUCUAGCUUGACUUCCCGUCCACAGAGGCUAGAGAAUUAUUCCUUCCUCCCCCUGCCUCGCAGCGAGGGUUCUGCGUGCGACUUUGCUUCAGCUUGUCCAAUGCGUCUGUGUGAGACCAGGAGUGUGAAGGGGAACACACUUUCUUGUUUAUAAUCUCCUUGGAUCUCAAAUCAUUUCCAAUGCUGGACUGUACAGCCUUGCCUGGAACCCCGAAGCAUCAUGGGAGACUGGUGUCAAGGGUCCGUUUUCACAGAGGAAGAGGACAAGCUGAGUCAGGGACUGCCCUCCUGCCCGUUCCAGCGUUCUGUCUUCCUUAAUUAGCAGAAACAGUCCCCACUUAGAAAAGAUGUUCGUGCCCUUGUGACGAAGAGCCUUCAAAUAGUCACGCUUUAAAGGAAAAUACGUCAAGGCAGAAAAAUGCCAGUUGAAAGCCUGCGCACUUAACACCCGGGAGAGCAGCAACUCGGAAUCUCAUGCUUCCUCCACUACACGCCCAAGAGAGCAGAGGGUAAAGAAGGUGUACGUGAAGUCCAGAAACAAGACAGGGGCCUCCUGAUGCCCCCGCGCUGCCAGUAUCAGUUCCCAGGGAUAAUAGGACAUUCCACAGUGACGGAAACCACGCGGGAAGAACAGGAUGUGCAGGGGUCAUGUCAGCUUUUGGAGGUAGGGGAGUUUUUGUCUCUUAAUGAACACAUGUUUCCUUUUAUUAGAUAAGAGUUUUAAAAGGAAUAGUUUUCCCCUUGGCUACUGUGAACACAGAGCUAAUUUGGGGGCUGCC
This is a long non-coding RNA of Molossus molossus (Pallas's mastiff bat), 1062 nucleotides long. RefSeq lists it as uncharacterized. NCBI's taxonomy places the organism in Eukaryota, Metazoa, Chordata, Mammalia, Chiroptera, Molossidae. The transcript is spliced from 5 exons. The record is from RefSeq and is a predicted model, not a curated record.